GAGUUUUGAUCAUGGCUCAGGACGAACGCUGGCGGCGCGCCUAACACAUGCAAGUCGAACGGAGCUGAGAGGAGCUUGCUUUUCUUAGCUUAGUGGCGAACGGGUGAGUAACGCGUGAGUAACCUGCCCUGGAGUGGGGGACAACAGUUGGAAACGACUGCUAAUACCGCAUAAGCCCACGGAUCCGCAUGGAUCUGCGGGAAAAGGAUUUAUUCGCUUCAGGAUGGACUCGCGUCCAAUUAGCUAG
RNAcentral lists this ribosomal RNA (247 nucleotides) under uncultured bacterium. RNAcentral describes it as "partial 16S ribosomal RNA". It matches the Rfam family "Bacterial small subunit ribosomal RNA", at positions 9 to 248 of the family's 1533-position model. The record is from RNAcentral.